GAGUUUGAUCCUGGCUCAGAUUGAACGCUGGCGGAAUGCUUUACACAUGCAAGUCGAGCGGUAAGGCCCCUUCGGGGGUACACGAGCGGCGAACGGGUGAGUAACACGUGGGCAACCUACCCUUGACACUGGAAUAACCCCGGGAAACCGGGGCUAAUACCGGAUACUCACCGCGUCUCGCAUGGGACGCGGUGGAAAGCUCCGACGGUCAGGGAUGGGCCCGCGGCCUAUCAGCUUGUUGGUGGGGUAACGGCCUACCAAGGCAUCGACGGGUAGCCGGCCUGAGAGGGCGACCGGCCACACUGGGACUGAGACACGGCCCAGACUCCUACGGGAGGCAGCAGUGGGGAAUCUUGCCCAAUGGGCGCAAGCCUGAGGCAGCGACGCCGCGUGAGGGAUGACGGCCUUCGGUU
RNAcentral lists this ribosomal RNA (413 nucleotides) under uncultured Actinomycetes bacterium. RNAcentral describes it as "bacterial SSU rRNA". It matches the Rfam family "Bacterial small subunit ribosomal RNA", at positions 9 to 423 of the family's 1533-position model. Lineage: Bacteria; Bacillati; Actinomycetota; Actinomycetes. The record is from RNAcentral.